This 504-nucleotide ribosomal RNA is filed under the name uncultured bacterium. RNAcentral's name for it is "partial 16S ribosomal RNA". It matches the Rfam family "Bacterial small subunit ribosomal RNA", at positions 30 to 523 of the family's 1533-position model. The record is from RNAcentral.
AUUGAACGCUGGCGGCAGGCCUAACACAUGCAAGUCGAACGGUAGCACAAAGAGCUUGCUCUUGGGUGACGAGUGGCGGACGGGUGAGUAAUGUCUGGGAAACUGCCCGAUGGAGGGGGAUAACUACUGGAAACGGUAGCUAAUACCGCAUAACGUCGCAAGACCAAAGUGGGGGACCUUCGGGCCUCACACCAUCGGAUGUGCCCAGAUGGGAUUGGCUGGUAGGUGGGGUAAUGGCUCACCUAGGCGACGAUCCCUAGCUGGUCGGAGAGGAUGACCAGCCACACGGGAACUGAGACACCGUCCAGACCCCUACGGGAGGCAGCAGUGUGGAAUAUUGCACAAUGGGCGCAAGCCUGAUGCAGCCAUGCCGCGUGUAUGAAGAAGGCCUUCGGGUUGUAAAGUACUUUCAGCGAGGAGGAAGGCAUUAAGGUUAAUAACCUUGGUGAUUGACGUUACUCGCAGAAGAAGCACCGGCUAACUCCGUGCCAGCCGCCGCCGUAA